RNAcentral lists this unclassified non-coding RNA (74 nucleotides) under Candidatus Kentrum sp. TC. The record is from RNAcentral. Lineage: Bacteria; Pseudomonadati; Pseudomonadota; Gammaproteobacteria.
GGAAGCGGAUGCGGGAAAACCGCACCUCCGGAUUUGUGCGGGGGGAACCCGGUAACGGGCGUUCCUACCGCGAG